CACGGCGGGUGCUAACGUCCGUCGUGAAGAGGGAAACAACCCAGACCGCCAGCUAAGGUCCCAAAGUCAUGGUUAAGUGGGAAACGAUGUGGGAAGGCCCAGACAGCCAGGAUGUUGGCUUAGAAGCAGCCAUCAUUUAAAGAAAGCGUAAUAGCUCACUGGUCGAGUCGGCCUGCGCGGAAGAUGUAACGGGGCUAAACCAUGCACCGAAGCUGCGGCAGCGACACUGUGUGUUGUUGGGUAGGGGAGCGUUCUGUAAGCCUGUGAAGGUGUGUCGUGAGGCAUGCUGGAGGUAUCAGAAGUGCGAAUGCUGACAUAAGUAACGAUAAAGCGGGUGAAAAGCCCGCUCGCCGGAAGACCAAGGGUUCCUGUCCAACGUUAAUCGGGGCAGGGUGAGUCGACCCCUAAGGCGAGGCCGAAAGGCGUAGUCGAUGGGAAACGGGUUAAUAUUCCCGUACUUGGUGUUACUGCGAAGGGGGGACGGAGAAGGCUAUGUUGGCCGGGCGACGGUUGUCCCGGUUUAAGCGUGUAGGUGUGUGUUCCAGGUAAAUCCGGUUCACUUUAACACUGAGGCGUGACGACGAGGCACUACGGUGCUGAAGCAACAAAUGCCCUGCUUCCAGGAAAAGCCUCUAAGCAUCAGGUAACAUCAAAUCGUACCCCAAACCGACACAGGUGGUCAGGUAGAGAAUACCAAGGCGCUUGAGAGAACUCGGGUGAAGGAACUAGGCAAAAUGGUGCCGUAACUUCGGGAGAAGGCACGCUGACACGUAGGUGAAGUGAUUUACUCAUGGAGCUGAAGUCAGUCGAAGAUACCAGCUGGCUGCAACUGUUUAUUAAAAACACAGCACUGUGCAAACACGAAAGUGGACGUAUACGGUGUGACGCCUGCCCGGUGCCGGAAGGUUAAUUGAUGGGGUCAGCGCAAGCGAAGCUCCUGAUCGAAGCCCCGGUAAACGGCGGCCGUAACUAUAACGGUCCUAAGGUAGCGAAAUUCCUUGUCGGGUAAGUUCCGACCUGCACGAAUGGCGUAAUGAUGGCCAGGCUGUCUCCACCCGAGACUCAGUGAAAUUGAACUCGCUGUGAAGAUGCAGUGUACCCGCGGCAAGACGGAAAGACCCCGUGAACCUUUACUAUAGCUUGACACUGAACAUUGAGCCUUGAUGUGUAGGAUAGGUGGGAGGCUUUGAAGCGUGGACGCCAGUCUGCGUGGAGCCG
RNAcentral lists this ribosomal RNA (1218 nucleotides) under Salmonella enterica. RNAcentral's name for it is "partial 23S ribosomal RNA". It matches the Rfam family "Bacterial large subunit ribosomal RNA", at positions 987 to 2188 of the family's 2925-position model. The record is from RNAcentral. Lineage: Bacteria; Pseudomonadati; Pseudomonadota; Gammaproteobacteria; Enterobacterales; Enterobacteriaceae.